UUGUUCUAUUCAUCAUGACCUCAUAGAGCCUUUUCUUUUUCUCAGGUCUCAUUUACUUCCUCUUUUUUUUUUCCUUUUCCUUUUCCUAUACCUUCCUUUGGUCCUUAUAAGUAUCCAAAUUGCCCUAAAAUAACUUCUGCACAUGCAGCAUUAGGAAGCAGUGUUUCCCAACCACUACAUUUGAAUGAUUCAUUCCUCUGAGGACCCUCAAGUACUUCAGAAGAACUAAAAAAUGAAUAUCACGUUACACCAAAGAAGAAAUGAAAGCUGCCAGUGUCUUCUGAAGUUAAACAGGCUCCUGUUCUUUGACCCAGCAAUCCAAUCCUAGGUAUUUAAUUGUUCCCUGAGGUUUAAGGCAGUGGACUGAGGAUAAUACAGGCUCCAGCUUUCAUUAGUUCAAUGGAUGAUGCUGUUCAAUCCAUACUGUUUGGGGCAUUUGUUGAAAAUGUCAUUCAGAAGAUAUCAACACUUUCUGAGUCAUGGUUUGAUUGAAUUUAUAGAAUUAUGUGAUAGAAACCACAUUCUUCACAAAAGUCACAAGGCAAUAAUGACGACAAGGGUUGAAGAUGAAAGAUGCCAAAUAUUCUGAUCAAUUCAAUAAGGCAAAAAGACAAGUUAAUUCACUCAGUGCUCCAGGCAUCAACUUCAUAGAAGGAAUGGAAAUUCUACCUGUUUCCUAAAGAACUACAGAGGACUCCAACUAAGCCACUAUGCUGGGAGCAGAGAUGGGGAAGAAUUGCUGAGUCAUGAUAAGAGAAGGCACUAUAGGAAGAAACAGUGAACUCUUAACAGCUGGGCAAGCAAUGAGUCAGCCUGGGUGGUCACUCCAGAUGCUCCCGGACACAUCCCAAUUUCUAGGAUGCCUUGCUAAUCUGGGAGGGCUUUCCACACGCCCACCUGAAGACCAUGUGUGACCACGCCCCCAGAGGAGCAUGCCUUCUCCCACUCCCCAAUCCCAUUGCUUAUGACUUCAUUCACAUUUAGAGCGUGGACAGUGAAUCCCCAAUGUCAUUUACACAGUGUUGUUCUUGUCAUGGUCUAAACCAGCUUACCCCACUGCCACAUUUAUCCAUCAGCCUAUGGGAAAAGGGAAAAAGGAUGUGGAAGUCUUUUCCAGAUACGGCCUGGGAUUUACAUCUGGGGAGCAAGGAUAUAGCAGCCCAAGAAUAAUUAGAUGGGGCAAAAUAUUUACCCUGAUGAAUAAGGCACUGACAUGGCAAGCAAACCAAAAUAUCCCCAGUCACAGAUACAAUGACAAACUCUCUCUCCAAGUCCUCCUGUCCUACUGUUGUUUGAGUGAUUAUACCUAAUUCCAUCUCAAUUCCUCUCAAUGUUCCUCACAAAUUGAUGACCUAAUACUUCAUGCCAGGAUAUUCUUGGUUAUACUGGAUUUCUAAGGCAUUUUAAUUAUCAUUAUGCGUUCAGGGAUACUGAUUUCUACAAUACAGAAAAUGUUGAAACUUACAAGUCUGUGAAACCAGAACUUACAAAACCUAUCUUGUUCUGAGUAGCAUUGAAACUGUCAAGGGAUAAAUUGGUAUU
Molecule: long non-coding RNA, 1542 nt
Filed under: Homo sapiens (human)
Lineage: Eukaryota; Metazoa; Chordata; Mammalia; Primates; Hominidae
Description: HSALNT0375842
Source: RNAcentral